CGAUUGCGUAAGGGAUUGAAGUGGAAAUCCUUUUUAUUUUUUUAUAAAAAGAUUGUAACGUAAAGCCCGACCCAGA
RNAcentral lists this small RNA (76 nucleotides) under Flavobacterium sp. 123. RNAcentral describes it as "Flavo-1 RNA". It matches the Rfam family "Flavo-1 RNA". The record is from Rfam by way of RNAcentral. Lineage: Bacteria; Pseudomonadati; Bacteroidota; Flavobacteriia; Flavobacteriales; Flavobacteriaceae.